AGGUAUUUCUGCUUCAUGAGGAAAUACAGAUGUCAGAAGUGUUCACAUAGGUGAAAUUGAAACAGAAGACACAUUCAGGAAUGCAGCUGUUGGGCUCCAAUCACUGAUGGCCAUUCAGUCCUUGAGACCAGAGUGGAGCUAGUCUGAGGUUUGAUGGAUGGACUGUCAGCUGGAUAAGGAACAGGCUGGAUGGCCAUGUCCAAAAAGUUACAAUGUACAAAAAGUUCAAUGUCCAAGUGGAAGCCAGCAACAAGUGGUGUCCCUCAAGGGUCUGUUUGGGAAGAAUGCUAUUUAGUAUCUUCCUCAGGACAUAAGUGAGAUGGAGUUCACCCUCAGCAAGUUUGCAGAUGACUCCAAGCUGAGUGGUGUAGUUGAUUCACUUUUAAGGAAGGGAUACCGUCCAGAAGGACAUUGACAGUCUUGAGAAGUGGGCCCAUGUGAACCUCAUGAAGGCCAACUGCAAGGUCCUGCACCUGUGUCAGGGCAAUCCCCAGUAUCAAUACAGUCUGGGGAAUGAAUCAAUUAAGAGCUUCCCUGCAGAGAAGAAGUUGAGUAUGCUUGUGGAUGAAAAACUGGACAUCAGCUAGCGAUGUACACUCACAGCCCAGAAAGUCAUCUUUAUACUGGAUUGCAUAAGAAGCAUGACCAGCAGGUCAAGGGAGGUUAUUCUUCUCUUUUCCUCUGCUUUCAGGAGAUACCAUCUGGUGUACUGCACCCAACUCUGGGAUUCCCAGUACAAAAAAGACAUGGACCUGUCAGACUGGGGUCUAGAGAAGGGCCUUGGAAAUGAUCAGAGGUCUGGAACACCUGUUCUAUGAAGAAAGGCUGAGAGAGGUGUGACUGCUCAGCCUGGAGUAGAGAAGGCUCUGGGGAGACCUUAUUGAAGCCUUUCAAUAUAUAAAGGAGAUUUAUAAGAAAGAUGGAGAGAAACUUUUUGCAGUUCUUGCAGUGAAAGGACACAGGGCAAUGGUUUUAUAACUAAAAGAAGUUAAAUUUAGAUUGGAUAUAAGGUAUAUUUUUUUUACAAUGAGGGUGGUAAGACACUGGAACAGGUUACCCUGAGAAGCUGUAGCUGCCCUAUCCCUGCAAGUGUUCAAGAUCAGGUUUGGAGAGAGCAGUCUGAUCUAAUGAAAUAUGUCCUUGCCCAUGGCAAGUGGGAUAGGACAAGGUGAUCUUUAAAGUUCCCUCUCAACACAACCCAUUCCAUGAUUCUAUGACUAUACUUUCACAUGCACAGAUAGGGCCUGUAUGCAGGAUCCAAUGUGAUUUUUCUGAUGACAGAGCAUCCCAAACAUGAAAAGUAUCUGAAUUGGAGCACAUAGAGGAUUGAUCUACUAACUAAAUGCAUAAAAAGUCUGUACAAUGCUUUUUUUUGUCCUGUUUCAGUUUUAAUCUGGGCUUAGUCUCCUGCCAUGAGUCACUAACCAAGUAAUGUUGCCAAUUAUCCAAAGACCAUGUAUUUUCAUGUUUUGAUGUCCCCAAAACUUUCCAGAUAAAUGAGCCAGUCAAGUAAUGAAUCCUUUCCAGGCAGUCAUAUUUCCCUCAGUACUAUUCACCACUUUAUGUGCAUCAGCUUGAUCUACAGCAUUAGAAGUCUAAUAGGGCAUAUGCCUAAAUAAAUGCAAGACAUUAUUCUAGUGCUCUUGUCUAUUUUUGCUAGUUGAAUGUCUGGUAAGAACUUAGACUGCAUGACAUAUUAAAACUUUAGGUAUUUUUGUGAUUAGAAUAUAUUUCCUGCUUAUGCAGAAGAACAGAUAUUGCUUAAUAGGUACCUGCCUGUCCAUCACUGAUUUCAACAAUAAGGCCGAAGUUAUCACUUUCUGCUGCUACUAGUCACAUUCAUGAUGCCAGUACUGUGCAUUGUUAAUUUAUAGGAUAGUGCAAUAAUUUUAAUCCUUUGUACCAGCUAUUUUAAAUGUCUGAUUGUAAAUUUGAUAGUGCCUUCUCAAUUACUGAGUAACAAUAACAUGAUUAAUUAAAUUGCGUUAAUAUCACCAUUUAUAAUACCAUCUUGAAGAUAUACUACGUUUAAAAUGGAAUUGUAUCUUGUCAGUUUUGCAUGAUCUUGGAUGAUUGUUCCCUUACAGAUUCUCAAUGAUGCUUAAUUAUCCAGCAAAAUAUGUAAUUUUUUGAAGUUUCAUUGAAUAAAGUGUCACAAAUCAACUUUAUCCUAUUAAAAUAAGAAUGAAACUCAAAAAGCCUGUCAGGUGUAAUGUUGCAUAUGACCAUGUAGUUUGAUGGCAUGGGUGGUUUCACAGAAACACACCCUCUGACAUAAGUAUGUUUAAUAUGUUUCAGCAUUAAAGUGUCCUAGUCAUAUGGCAGAGCAAGUGAAUGUCUCUUACAGAACAGGCUUCUUGACAAGAGGUUUUAAUUUCUUUGAUCUUUACCCAUCUGGUAACUCUUGCAGUGGAUUUUGAAGAUGCUU
Long non-coding RNA from Melopsittacus undulatus (budgerigar), 2428 nucleotides. RefSeq lists it as uncharacterized. Lineage: Eukaryota; Metazoa; Chordata; Aves; Psittaciformes; Psittaculidae. The record is from RefSeq and is a predicted model, not a curated record. The transcript is spliced from 3 exons.